UACCAACUGCCAUAUAUUCGAUCUAGACUCGAUAUGCUGGAUAGGCAUCAAGUCACUUAUUAGUUUGAUGUCCCCCUGCGCGUCAUUUUGCUUACCCGUAGGGGCUAAGCAAGGAAAUACCCUCAUUCAAAGGAAAGAUCGUAACAUGAACAAACUGACUGGAACCGUUAAAUGGUUCAACGAUGAAAAGGGCUUUGGCUUUAUCUCUGGUGCUGAUGGCAAAGAUGUAUUCGUCCACUUCAGUGCUAUUCAGGCUCAGGGCCGUCGCACCCUACAUGAAGGUCAAAGUGUUGAGUUUAUCGUGACAGAUGGUCAGAAAGGUCCACAGGCUAGCGAAGUUGUUGCGCUGUCUUAAUGCCGCUGAAAAACUCUUCAUAAAAAAAACGCCGCUAAGCGGCGUUUUUUAUC
RNAcentral lists this non-coding RNA (408 nucleotides) under Photobacterium gaetbulicola Gung47. RNAcentral describes it as "Photobacterium sp. Gung47 cspA thermoregulator". It matches the Rfam family "cspA thermoregulator", at positions 108 to 428 of the family's 428-position model. The record is from Rfam by way of RNAcentral. Lineage: Bacteria; Pseudomonadati; Pseudomonadota; Gammaproteobacteria; Vibrionales; Vibrionaceae.